GCCUGGGUGGCUUAGUCGGUUCAGCGUCUGACUUCGGCUCAGGUCAUGAUCUCGUGGUCCGUGAGUUCGAGCCCCGCGUCGGGCU
This is a non-coding RNA of Felis catus (domestic cat), 85 nucleotides long. The record is from Rfam. NCBI's taxonomy places the organism in Eukaryota, Metazoa, Chordata, Mammalia, Carnivora, Felidae.